GAUAUUUGUGGUAAUUCUAUAAUUAAUACAUACGCAAUUGCGGCAUAUUAAAUGAAACACAAAGAGCGAGAGUUCUUAGUAAAGGAUUGUUUUUAUGCAUGGAUCACAUACAUGUAAGUGAGAGUCCUUAAAAGUUUCUGACCUAUCAGGUAUCGACGGUUGGGUAUUGGCUAACCGUGCCGUUUACGGGUAACGGGGGGUUAGGGUUUGAUUCCGGAGAAGGAGCAUGAGAGACGGCUACUACGUCUAAGGAAGGCAGCAGGCGCGUAAAUUACCAAUCCUCAAUACGGGGAGGUAGUAAAUAGAAAUAAUGACGCAGGGAUUAAUUUUCUGCGAUCGGAAUGAAAAGCUCUUAAACAAAGCUAUAAAAACUAUUGGAGGGCAAGUCUGGUGCCAGCAGCCGCGGUAAUUCCAGCUCCAAUGGCGUAUAUUAAAGUUGUUGCAGUUAAAAUGCUCGUAGUCGGCUCUUUACCUUUAAGCUUCCGCACUGCUAUUGCAUGUGGUGCAUAAAAGGAGUUAAAAGUUGUCACAUUUAGUGGGUUACUUUUAUUGAUACUUUGAGUGAAUCGUAGUGCUUCGCACAGGCCACAGUCAUAUACGAUCUACCAUGGAAUAUCCAUAUUCUGAAUGCGUCGGCUUUGGUUUCUCCGUCGCUUUUUACACAAAUAUGAACGGCUGAGGGUAUUUAUAUUCAACUGUUAGAGGUGAAAUUCUUUGAUUAGUUGAGGAUAAACUAAUGCGAAAGCAUCUGCCAAAGACGUUUUAGUUGAUCAAGAACGAAAGUUAGGUGAUCGAAGAUGAUUAGAUACCGUUGUAGUCCUAACUAUAAACGAUGUU
This 837-nucleotide ribosomal RNA is filed under the name uncultured eukaryote. RNAcentral describes it as "bacterial SSU rRNA". It matches the Rfam family "Eukaryotic small subunit ribosomal RNA", at positions 142 to 1043 of the family's 1831-position model. The record is from RNAcentral.